RNAcentral lists this ribosomal RNA (450 nucleotides) under uncultured bacterium. RNAcentral's name for it is "partial 16S ribosomal RNA". It matches the Rfam family "Bacterial small subunit ribosomal RNA", at positions 338 to 795 of the family's 1533-position model. The record is from RNAcentral.
CCUACGGGGGGCUGCAGUGGGGAAUUUUGGACAAUGGGCGCAAGCCUGAUCCAGCCAUGCCGCGUGAGUGAAGAAGGCCUUCGGGUUGUAAAGCUCUUUCGGACAGAAAGAAAUCGCACAGGAUAAUACCUUGUGUGGAUGACGGUACUGUAAGAAGAAGCACCGGCUAACUACGUGCCAGCAGCCGCGGUAAUACGUAGGGUGCGAGCGUGGAUCGGAAUUACUGGGGGUAAAGCGUGCGGAGGCGGGUGAACUCCCCGGGCUUAAGCUGGGAACUGCAGUUGUGACUGUAAGGCUAGAGUACGGCAGAGGGGGGUAGAAUUCCACGUGUAGCAGUGAAAUGCGUAGAUAUGUGGAGGAAUACCGAUGGCGAAGGCAGCCCCCUGGGUCGAUACUGACGCUCAUGCACGAAAGCGUGGGGAGCAAACAGGAUUAGAUACCCUGGUAGUC